AAGACUAGAAAGGUGCUAUAUAAUUACAGUCCAUUUACCAUUUAAAUCCUGAUAAUGUUACAUAUUUUAAGAAUGUAUGUUUUUGUUGGAUUGGAUGUAUAAGAAUGUGAAGAGUUGGUGAAAGCUAUUAGUGAGAAAGAGAAAAGGUAGUCAAGGAAAGAAGGACUGUUGCAGGCCAAGUUGUGGCUCAUAGAAGCUAGGGCCAGAUAAGCAGGUAAGUCAGAGAAAGAAAAUAGAAGGAGAAGAGAAAGUUGCUAAGAGAAGAAAAUGCAAGUGAACAGAAAGAAGCUCAACGGAGCAGCGAAAAAACAAAUUAACAUAAAUCUUGUCUUAUUUUCUGCCCGAGACCCUCAAGGUGAUAACGGGUACGUGCCAUAUGGGCUCCGUCCGGAUUCUCCGCCUUGUCCCACGCCUCAACCUCCUCCUCCUACUCCUGCACCAUCAACUGCUCCGCCGCCUCCCGUCCACUCACCAUGAAAGGGAGAGAUGCCCCCCCGUUGGCAAUCUCCUCCAGAGACAAGACGCGGUACAGUAUAUAUAAAUGCAUUUUUGUGUUAUGAUAGUAACACUGGUGAACUUUUCUUCCGAGAUAACCAAGGAAGGGGGAGAGGACGUGGAGGUGGUGAGAACAGAAGAAUGGACAAUGAUGUGUGCUACAAUUGUGGAAAAUUUGGACACUAUGCAAGAGACUGCAGAGCUCCAAGGAGGAGAGGAAGGAGGGGAGGAUGGAGAGCGGGAGGAGGCGAAGGAGCGGAGCAUGGCCCUGGCAGGACAGGAGAGAAAAGGAUCGCACCGCAUGACUAACUCCAGAAACAGCCUGUCUCCACAGUUGAUGAGUUCAAGAGGCAUGAGAUGACUGAAGGACAAGGUGUGGUUAGAUACGAGAAUGAGGACGAGUACGAAGAAUGGGUCCAGUUCAGCGAGUAGAAGAGUCAAUCUACGCGCCCAUGGGAGGAGAAACACCUACUGAGAAAGACACACUGUUUAGUUUGUUCCACAGCAC
Long non-coding RNA from Larimichthys crocea (large yellow croaker), 1003 nucleotides. RefSeq lists it as uncharacterized. The transcript is spliced from 2 exons. The record is from RefSeq and is a predicted model, not a curated record. NCBI's taxonomy places the organism in Eukaryota, Metazoa, Chordata, Actinopteri, Sciaenidae.